CGUCCAAUAAUUCAACGGGAAGAGAAUUGCUCUCAAAAAGGGCAUGCACGUUGGUUCAACUCCAACAUGGACGA
Molecule: transfer RNA, 74 nt
Filed under: Siphoviridae sp. ctnpt50
Lineage: Duplodnaviria; Heunggongvirae; Uroviricota; Caudoviricetes
Description: tRNA-Leu
Rfam family: tRNA
About the family: Transfer RNA (tRNA) molecules are approximately 80 nucleotides in length.
Source: RNAcentral